RNAcentral lists this ribosomal RNA (404 nucleotides) under uncultured bacterium. RNAcentral describes it as "bacterial SSU rRNA". It matches the Rfam family "Bacterial small subunit ribosomal RNA", at positions 151 to 540 of the family's 1533-position model. The record is from RNAcentral.
CCGAAAGACGGGUAAUACCGCAUGUGGAUUCAGGUCCCUCGGGACUUGUCUCUAAAGGCGCCCGCAAGGGUGUCGCAUCGAGAUCGGCCCACUUCCCAUUAGCUAGUUGGUAAGGUAACGGCUUACCAAGGCGACGAUGGGUAGGUGGCCUGAGAGGGUGGUCACCCACACUGGGACUGAGAUACGGCCCAGACUCCUACGGGAGGCAGCAGUCUAGAAGCUUCGGCAAUGGGCGAAAGCCUGACCGAGCGACGCCGCGUGUGGGAUGAAGCUCUUCGGGGUGUAAACCACUGUCAGCAGGGAAGAAUGUCCGGGAGGCGUCCCUCUCGGAAGCGACGGUACCUGCAGAGGAAGCGCCGGCCAACUCUGUGCCAGCAGCCGCGGUAAUACAGAGGGCGCAAGCG